CGCGUAGGCGGUUUCGGAAGUCAUGGGUGAAAGUCCUCGGCUCAACCGAGGGAUUGCCUGUGAAACCACGGGACUGGAGUGCUGGAGAGGGAAGCGGAACUCCCAGUGUAGCGGUGAAAUGCGUAGAUAUUGGGAGGAACAUCUGUGGCGAAGGCGGCUUCCUGGACAGACACUGACGCUGAGGCGCGAAAGCCAGGGGAGCGAACG
This 207-nucleotide ribosomal RNA is filed under the name uncultured bacterium. RNAcentral's name for it is "partial 16S ribosomal RNA". It matches the Rfam family "Bacterial small subunit ribosomal RNA", at positions 568 to 774 of the family's 1533-position model. The record is from RNAcentral.